AUGCUUAAUCUUCAUAAAAUCGGGCCCAAUGCAUGGCAAUCUCGGCCCAUGAUCCUUCUUCGAUUGUUAGGGAGAUGCUGGUUUUGCGGAUUCGAAGCAACUGAAGUGAUGAAAGGAUAUUGUGCGUUCAUGUUGUUGUUGCGGAUGUGGAAUUACAGAUUUGAGAAGUCUUGCCUAUUUGCGAUGCAGAAAGUUUCAGAUGAAGGUGGUAUUGAAGGUUCCAAGAAGAUGAAGGUGAAGCCAGUUCCGGGAGAAAGAUUGAAGAGGGAUAAUGAAGAUUGA
This is a non-coding RNA of Vicia faba (fava bean), 282 nucleotides long. The record is from the annotation of a GenBank genome assembly. NCBI's taxonomy places the organism in Eukaryota, Viridiplantae, Streptophyta, Magnoliopsida, Fabales, Fabaceae.